AGUGAACGCUGGCGGUAUGCCUAAUACAUGCAAGUCGAACGGCAGCACGGUAAGCGCUUUCUCUUGCGGUUGGCGAGUGGCGGAUGGGUGAGGCGUGCAUAGCAAUCUUCUAUGUCUGGGGUGAUAACGUGGGGAAACUUACACUAAUACCUCAUACUACGUACGGCUGAAAGCAGGAGAGCUUCACACUUUUGCCGUCUGAUAUAGCCGGUUCCGCGCUGCAUUAGCUAGUUGGUAAGGUAACGGCCUACCAAGGCAACGAUGCAUAGCUGAGCUGAGAGGGUGAUCAGCCACACUGGAACUGAGACACGGUCCAGACUCCUACGGGAGGCAGCAGUAGGGAAUCUUCCACAAUGGGCGAAAGCCUGACGCAGCAAUGCCGCGUGAGUGAUGAAGGUCUUCGGGUUGUAAAGCCCUGUUAUUGGGGAAGAAAAGAUGCGGGAGAAUCUCCGGCUGUCCUGACGGUACCUAAACAGAAAGCCACGGCUAACUUCGUG
Molecule: ribosomal RNA, 497 nt
Filed under: uncultured bacterium
Lineage: Bacteria
Description: partial 16S ribosomal RNA
Rfam family: Bacterial small subunit ribosomal RNA
Source: RNAcentral